GAGUUUGAUCUUGGCUCAGAUUGAACGCUGGCGGCAUGCCUUACACAUGCAAGUCGAACGGCAGCACGGGAGCUUGCUCCUGGUGGCGAGUGGCGAACGGGUGAGUAAUGCAUCGGAACGUAUCCUGGAGUGGGGGAUAACGUAGCGAAAGUUACGCUAAUACCGCAUAUUCUGUGAGCAGGAAAGCGGGGGACCUUCGGGCCUCGCGCUCUUGGAGCGGCCGAUGUCGGAUUAGCUAGUUGGUGAGGUAAAGGCUCACCAAGGCGACGAUCCGUAGCAGGUCUGAGAGGAUGAUCUGCCACACUGGAACUGAGACACGGUCCAGACUCCUACGGGAGGCAGCAGUGGGGAAUUUUGGACAAUGGGGGCAACCCUGAUCCAGCCAUGCCGCGUGAGUGAAGAAGGCC
This 407-nucleotide ribosomal RNA is filed under the name bacterium enrichment culture clone ALO1_GLFRUDD03F0HZS. RNAcentral describes it as "bacterial SSU rRNA". It matches the Rfam family "Bacterial small subunit ribosomal RNA", at positions 9 to 416 of the family's 1533-position model. The record is from RNAcentral. RNAcentral also lists the same sequence under 93 other names.